This is a non-coding RNA of Poecilia reticulata (guppy), 514 nucleotides long. Lineage: Eukaryota; Metazoa; Chordata; Actinopteri; Cyprinodontiformes; Poeciliidae. The record is from RefSeq and is a predicted model, not a curated record.
GUCCAAUCGCGCUAUUUCCGUCCAGACAGAAGAGCAGUAGAGUUCACACAGCGUAACAAACAAGAUAGUCUGCUCUGUAGCAGACACUGAUGGAUCCCCACUGGCGGUCCUUAAACGAGCGUAAUAUCAGGAAGAGAUGAAUCAUCUCAUUUCUUCAGCGCUCAAACGAAGCACGUCUGCUUGCCACCCCAGCAGCACUAACUCAUCCAGACACAAACAACACGGCUUGAGGGACGGAAAGGGUGACGAGAUGCUCUCCGCCAGGAGCUGAUGGCGCGGCAAAAGGUUCAGGGAAGGGAAGAGCUUUGGAUGCUUCGUUCAGUGUAUCUCCCAUCUCUUUGUUCGCUAAUCCUGCCCUAAAGCGCUGCAGCCCCUCUAAUUGUGAGCAGAUUUUCUAAAAGGACCGUAGCAUCAGUAGUGGUUGUGUUUCACACUUCAGUCUAAUCCUGUUUGGGAGGUUUUGUUGCAGCACAUCAAUGGGUAAUGACAAGGUUUAAUCGCCAUAAAGCUGCCA